RNAcentral lists this long non-coding RNA (306 nucleotides) under Homo sapiens (human). Its description in RNAcentral is "HSALNT0292923". The record is from RNAcentral. Lineage: Eukaryota; Metazoa; Chordata; Mammalia; Primates; Hominidae.
AGUUUCCCAUAAUGGCUGUGAGUCUGGAGUUUGUUCCUGCCGGUGGGUUCGUGGUCUCGCUGACUUCAAGAAUGAAGCUGCAGACGUUCGUGAGGAGAAAGCUGAAGCACCAGAUGGUUAAAAGGACUGUUCAAGACAGCCUUGCAAUUUUGACCAAGGAAGAAAGCUGAAGAGUGCUAGGGCAAGAGAGGAACUACGUCCAGAACAAUUCAUAAUUCCAAAUUCUCACUUCCAUGAUUUCAAUGCUGAAUGUGUACUUCUCUAGCUAAAAAUACAAUUGCUUAAGUAAAAUCAUCAUUAUUUACA